GGUUAAGCGACUAAGCGUACACGGUGGAUGCCCUGGCAGUCAGAGGCGAUGAAGGACGUGCUAAUCUGCGAUAAGCGUCGGUAAGGUGAUAUGAACCGUUAUAACCGGCGAUUUCCGAAUGGGGAAACCCAGUGUGAUUCGUCACACUAUCAUUAACUGAAUCCAUAGGUUAAUGAGGCGAACCGGGGGAACUGAAACAUCUAAGUACCCCGAGGAAAAGAAAUCAACCGAGAUUCCCCCAGUAGCGGCGAGCGAACGGGGAGCAGCCCAGAGCCUGAAUCAGUGUGUGUGUUAGUGGAAGCGUCUGGAAAGGCGUGCGAUACAGGGUGACAGCCCCGUACACAAAAAUGCACAUGCUGUGAGCUCGAUGAGUAGGGCGGGACACGUGGUAUCCUGUCUGAAUAUGGGGGGACCAUCCUCCAAGGCUAAAUACUCCUGACUGACCGAUAGUGAACCAGUACCGUGAGGGAAAGGCGAAAAGAACCCCGGCGAGGGGAGUGAAAAAGAACCUGAAACCGUGUACGUACAAGCAGUGGGAGCACAGAGCAAUCUGUGUGACUGCGUACCUUUUGUAUAAUGGGUCAGCGACUUAUAUUCUGUAGCAAGGUUAACCGAAUAGGGGAGCCGAAGGGAAACCGAGUCUUAACUGGGCGUUAAGUUGCAGGGUAUAGACCCGAAACCCGGUGAUCUAGCCAUGGGCAGGUUGAAGGUUGGGUAACACUAACUGGAGGACCGAACCGACUAAUGUUGAAAAAUUAGCGGAUGACUUGUGGCUGGGGGUGAAAGGCCAAUCAAACCGGGAGAUAGCUGGUUCUCCCCGAAAGCUAUUUAGGUAGCGCCUCGUGAAUUCAUCUCCGGGGGUAGAGCACUGUUUCGGCAAGGGGGUCAUCCCGACUUACCAACCCGAUGCAAACUGCGAAUACCGGAGAAUGUUAUCACGGGAGACACACGGCGGGUGCUAACGUCCGUCGUGAAGAGGGAAACAACCCAGACCGCCAGCUAAGGUCCCAAAGUCAUGGUUAAGUGGGAAACGAUGUGGGAAGGCCCAGACAGCCAGGAUGUUGGCUUAGAAGCAGCCAUCAUUUAAAGAAAGCGUAAUAGCUCACUGGUCGAGUCGGCCUGCGCGGAAGAUGUAACGGGGCUAAACCAUGCACCGAAGCUGCGGCAGCGACGCUUAUGCGUUGUUGGGUAGGGGAGCGUUCUGUAAGCCUGCGAAGGUGUGCUGUGAGGCAUGCUGGAGGUAUCAGAAGUGCGAAUGCUGACAUAAGUAACGAUAAAGCGGGUGAAAAGCCCGCUCGCCGGAAGACCAAGGGUUCCUGUCCAACGUUAAUCGGGGCAGGGUGAGUCGACCCCUAAGGCGAGGCCGAAAGGCGUAGUCGAUGGGAAACAGGUUAAUAUUCCUGUACUUGGUGUUACUGCGAAGGGGGGACGGAGAAGGCUAUGUUGGCCGGGCGACGGUUGUCCCGGUUUAAGCGUGUAGGCUGGUUUUCCAGGCAAAUCCGGAAAAUCAAGGCUGAGGCGUGAUGACGAGGCACUACGGUGCUGAAGCAACAAAUGCCCUGCUUCCAGGAAAAGCCUCUAAGCAUCAGGUAACAUCAAAUCGUACCCCAAACCGACACAGGUGGUCAGGUAGAGAAUACCAAGGCGCUUGAGAGAACUCGGGUGAAGGAACUAGGCAAAAUGGUGCCGUAACUUCGGGAGAAGGCACGCUGAUAUGUAGGUGAAGUCCCUCGCGGAUGGAGCUGAAAUCAGUCGAAGAUACCAGCUGGCUGCAACUGUUUAUUAAAAACACAGCACUGUGCAAACACGAAAGUGGACGUAUACGGUGUGACGCCUGCCCGGUGCCGGAAGGUUAAUUGAUGGGGUCAGCGCAAGCGAAGCUCUUGAUCGAAGCCCCGGUAAACGGCGGCCGUAACUAUAACGGUCCUAAGGUAGCGAAAUUCCUUGUCGGGUAAGUUCCGACCUGCACGAAUGGCGUAAUGAUGGCCAGGCUGUCUCCACCCGAGACUCAGUGAAAUUGAACUCGCUGUGAAGAUGCAGUGUACCCGCGGCAAGACGGAAAGACCCCGUGAACCUUUACUAUAGCUUGACACUGAACAUUGAGCCUUGAUGUGUAGGAUAGGUGGGAGGCUUGGAAGUGUGGACGCCAGUCUGCAUGGAGCCGACCUUGAAAUACCACCCUUUAAUGUUUGAUGUUCUAACGUUGACCCGUAAUCCGGGUUGCGGACAGUGUCUGGUGGGUAGUUUGACUGGGGCGGUCUCCUCCUAAAGAGUAACGGAGGAGCACGAAGGUUGGCUAAUCCUGGUCGGACAUCAGGAGGUUAGUGCAAUGGCAUAAGCCAGCUUGACUGCGAGCGUGACGGCGCGAGCAGGUGCGAAAGCAGGUCAUAGUGAUCCGGUGGUUCUGAAUGGAAGGGCCAUCGCUCAACGGAUAAAAGGUACUCCGGGGAUAACAGGCUGAUACCGCCCAAGAGUUCAUAUCGACGGCGGUGUUUGGCACCUCGAUGUCGGCUCAUCACAUCCUGGGGCUGAAGUAGGUCCCAAGGGUAUGGCUGUUCGCCAUUUAAAGUGGUACGCGAGCUGGGUUUAGAACGUCGUGAGACAGUUCGGUCCCUAUCUGCCGUGGGCGCUGGAGAACUGAGGGGGGCUGCUCCUAGUACGAGAGGACCGGAGUGGACGCAUCACUGGUGUUCGGGUUGUCAUGCCAAUGGCACUGCCCGGUAGCUAAAUGCGGAAGAGAUAAGUGCUGAAAGCAUCUAAGCACGAAACUUGCCCCGAGAUGAGUUCUCCCUGACUCCUUGAGAGUCCUGAAGGAACGUUGAAGACGACGACGUUGAUAGGCCGGGUGUGUAAGCGCAGCGAUGCGUUGAGCUAACCGGUACUAAUGAACCGUGAGGCUUAACCUU
This 2906-nucleotide ribosomal RNA is filed under the name Escherichia coli. RNAcentral's name for it is "23S ribosomal RNA". It matches the Rfam family "Bacterial large subunit ribosomal RNA". The record is from RNAcentral. Lineage: Bacteria; Pseudomonadati; Pseudomonadota; Gammaproteobacteria; Enterobacterales; Enterobacteriaceae.